GACUCCUACGGGAGGCAGCAGUAGGGAAUCUUCGGCAAUGGACGGAAGUCUGACCGAGCAACGCCGCGUGAGUGAAGAAGGUUUUCGGAUCGUAAAGCUCUGUUGUAAGAGAAGAACGAGUGUGAGAGUGGAAAGUUCACACUGUGACGGUAUCUUACCAGAAAGGGACGGCUAACUACGUGCCAGCAGCCGCGGUAAUACGUAGGUCCCGAGCGUUGUCCGGAUUUAUUGGGCGUAAAGCGAGCGCAGGCGGUUAGAUAAGUCUGAAGUUAAAGGCUGUGGCUUAACCAUAGUACGCUUUGGAAACUGUUUAACUUGAGUGCAGAAGGGGAGAGUGGAAUUCCAUGUGUAGCGGUGAAAUGCGUAGAUAUAUGGAGGAACACCGGUGGCGAAAGCGGCCCUCUGGUCUGUAACUGACGCUGAGGCUCGAAAGCGUGGGGAGCAAACAGGAUUAGAUACCCUGGUAGUCCACGCCGUAAACGAUGAGUGCUAGGUGUUGGGUCCUUUCCGGGACUCAGUGCCGUAGCUAACGCAUUAAGCACUCCGCCUGGGGAGUACGACCGCAAGGUUGAAACUCAAAGGAAUUGACGGGGGCCCGCACAAGA
Molecule: ribosomal RNA, 605 nt
Filed under: uncultured bacterium
Lineage: Bacteria
Description: bacterial SSU rRNA
Rfam family: Bacterial small subunit ribosomal RNA
Source: RNAcentral